GCCCACGUAGCUCAGGGGUAGAGCAACUCCAUGGUAAGGAGUAGGUCAGCGGUUCAAAUCCGCUCGUGGGCUCCA
RNAcentral lists this transfer RNA (75 nucleotides) under Candidatus Berkelbacteria bacterium. RNAcentral describes it as "tRNA-Thr". It matches the Rfam family "tRNA". From Rfam's summary of the family: Transfer RNA (tRNA) molecules are approximately 80 nucleotides in length. Lineage: Bacteria; Candidatus Berkelbacteria. The record is from RNAcentral.